This is a long non-coding RNA of Mirounga angustirostris (Northern elephant seal), 650 nucleotides long. RefSeq lists it as uncharacterized. The transcript has 4 exons. Lineage: Eukaryota; Metazoa; Chordata; Mammalia; Carnivora; Phocidae. The record is from RefSeq and is a predicted model, not a curated record.
UCCGCUGCCUCCUGGCCCUUCGCGGUGACGCCCCCGAGAGCGCCUCAUGAGCCUGCCCCGAGAGGCAGGAAGCUUCACCUCCAGGCCCAUGUGUGUUUGCUCAGGCUGCUCUCAGAUCCUAAACUGGGAGACCAGUGACGGAGAUGACCACAAAGCUACUUGGGGGACAAGGCGACUUACCACCUUGGAAAGCCCUGAGGUGAGAAAAUUGAAGUUUCAAGAGUUGAGGGCUUGGACAGUGUGCCUCACAGCCUCGGCCCAGGCGGUGAAAGCUGAGCUACCCCUCGCAACCAGGACAGUGUGCGGCGCACCCCUGCUGGGGGCUCAGGGCUUCUGCGUGGGCACAGUGGAAAAGACUGGGUGGAGAGUCACUGCCCCAGUUCUGCAGAGCUGAACUUGAUUGGACAUUCGGAAGCGGUCACUGAAAGGAAGUAGAAGACCCAUGGCAAUGAUCCAUGAGCAAAACUUCUCUGCUACCCCGGGACACCCAUUCUCCUGUUGGCCACACAGCUUCUGCAGCAGAGCUCACUCUGCAGAAGAAAAUGGUCAAUAGGAGGUCGCACUGGCAGGUCACUUGGCUCAGAAGUCUCCCAGAGGAGCGAGGUCUGGUAAGCACAGCCAGUGGGCAUCACCAUUGCCGAGGCUACUGA